This is a long non-coding RNA of Anolis carolinensis (green anole), 1561 nucleotides long. RefSeq lists it as uncharacterized. Lineage: Eukaryota; Metazoa; Chordata; Lepidosauria; Squamata; Anolidae. The record is from RefSeq and is a predicted model, not a curated record. The transcript has 3 exons.
AUUAAGUUCACUCUGCCAUAGCAGCAUUGUGCAUUCAGUUCCAUUGGGAGUUCAGAUGAGAAAGGAAUCAUUUUCGAUGUAUGAGUAAGCAGGUUGGAUUUCUGGAUGCCCGCAUGACUAAAUAAGAUUCUAUUUUUACAAAGUUACUUUUUUGACCAUAAAUCCUUAACUCAUACAUCAUUCAUAGUUAUUUUUGCUGUGCAUAACAAGUAAUCAAGUGUCCAGGAAGAAACGUUAGCGCUUCGGAAAAAAACAGCGAUUUCAAAGCGUUGGAGCCAAUUUAUUCAAUAGGCUCAGAAAUAUGUUCGGAAAUAUGAGGAAGUAUUUUGGAUGCAACCAAACUUGAUUUUCAGGGAGGAUCAGCCUAGCCUAGGCUUGCCUCCUUGACCAAUCAUUUUGCAUGUUCAUGCAAGGGGAGGGGUUUUGAUGUCCUUCCUGAAAAGUGCCUGAUGCAAGCCACAAGGAACAUUUUGGGUUGGGAGGUUGGAGGGAGAGGUUGGCUGAGGCUGCCAGCUGGUCUUUCCUUUUGCUGCUUGACUCACUGAUUGCCUGCCUGGCCUGUUGUUGUGGGGCAGACAUUGAAAGAAGAACUUAAUCAAAAAGAAGAAGCUUUUAUUUUUUGGAUAAAAAAAAAGUACACCCAUAAAAGUGGAGAAAAAUCCAGAAGGUCGGUGGAGGAAGACAGGAAUAGAGAAGAGGGCAAUUAAAUGAUUUCUCCCAAACACCAGAUACUGAAAAUGACACCCACCAAUCAUGAAGACAGUAAAACCCUGUGCUAAUAGUUGGAGAAAUCAUUUGUCAUCGGCGGAGCAAUUACACUGAGAAAGAACUGACAGAACAGGCCACUUUCUGCUAAUCGUGGCAACAUUUUGCUGUACAGCAAGAAACCUUCUGCAAUCCAGCCAAGCUAAUGGGUAUGUGUCAAAAACAAUGUUUCUGCUGCAAAACCUGUGCUAUAUAAAAUAUUUUUCUGUCUUUCCCAGACAACUGCUUAAGAUGAUGAAUGAGGAGUUGUCAUUCUUCCAUAUAAUUAUUGUCUGGAAAAAUAAUAUUUGCUGACAGCUGACUAUGCUUUCUAAUAUUGAUUACCUGGAAGGUCUAAGGUGGGCUUAUAAAAAGGCUUUUCUAGUUUAUUAUCCUUUAUAAAUAAAAAAUGGUUAUAAAACAAGAGGAAAGUGUAGGGGAUGUUUACCUAAAAAUAAGAAAGCUGGGGAAAGAACCUUCCAUAGGAAAUCCAUGCAAAAGAAAGAAUAUGAUGGUUGCCUAAAAUAAUGAAGCAAUCUUGCCCAGACCAGCUAAUUAAAAAAGGAAGGGUGAAGUCGCCUUGUAUCUCAUAGGUGAAUGAUAUAUGCUGUAGAGGCAUAUAAUUAAAAGUCAUAUUAGGAAAUGUGAGAUGGAACACUUUUAAUAAUUAGAAGGCUUCACCUUCAAAUAGACAUGGAAGACAUCCUACCCUGAUUCACGAGAGAGAUCGUUGAUACUUUUGAUUCAUGAAGGACAUAUCACAGAGAAAAAGAGUUGCCCCAAGCCUUAGCUUUCAAGUGAUGGGAUUUUUGAAGAA